RNAcentral lists this ribosomal RNA (304 nucleotides) under uncultured bacterium. Its description in RNAcentral is "bacterial SSU rRNA". It matches the Rfam family "Bacterial small subunit ribosomal RNA", at positions 47 to 347 of the family's 1533-position model. The record is from RNAcentral.
CCUAACACAUGCAAGUCGAACGGUAACAGGAAGCAGCUUGCUGCUUCGCUGACGAGUGGCGGACGGGUGAGUAAUGUCUGGGAAGCUGCCUGAUGGAGGGGGAUAACUACUGGAAACGGUAACUAAUACCGCAUAAUGUCCCAAGACCAAAGAGGGGGACCUUCGGGCCUCUUGCCAUCGGAUGUGCCCAGAUGGGAUUAGCUUGUUGGUGGGGUAACGGCUCACCAAGGCGACGAUCCCUAGCUGGUCUGAGAGGAUGACCAGCCACACUGGAACUGAGACACGGUCCAUACUCCUACGGGAG